UACGUGCGGGGCGAACGUUGUUCGGUGUCACUGGGCUUAAAGGGUGCGUAGGUGGUUGCGUAAGUAACGUGUGAAAUCCCUCGGCUUACCCGGGGAAUUGCGCGUUAUACUGCGUGACUUGAGGAUUUCAGGGGAAUGGGGAACUCCAGGUGUAGCGGUGAAAUGCGCAGAUAUCUGGGGGAAGGCCGGCGGCGAAGGCGCCAUUCUGGGAAAUUCCUGACACUGAGGCACGAAAGCGUGGGGAGCAAACAGG
RNAcentral lists this ribosomal RNA (253 nucleotides) under uncultured bacterium. Its description in RNAcentral is "partial 16S ribosomal RNA". It matches the Rfam family "Bacterial small subunit ribosomal RNA", at positions 524 to 776 of the family's 1533-position model. The record is from RNAcentral.